RNAcentral lists this ribosomal RNA (253 nucleotides) under uncultured bacterium. Its description in RNAcentral is "partial 16S ribosomal RNA". It matches the Rfam family "Bacterial small subunit ribosomal RNA", at positions 524 to 776 of the family's 1533-position model. The record is from RNAcentral.
GACAGAGGCCUCAAGCGUUGUUCGGAUUCAUUGGGCGUAAAGGGCGCGCAGGCGGUCGUUCAAGUCGAGUGUGAAAGCCCCCGGCUCAACUGGGGAGGGUCACUCGAUACUGAUCGACUCGAAGGCAGAAGAGGGAAGCGGAAUUCCCGGUGUAGUGGUGAAAUGCGUAGAUAUCGGGAGGAACACCAGUGGCGAAGGCGGCUUUCUGGUCUGCUCUUGACGCUGAGGCGCGAAAGCUAGGGUAGCAAACGGG